Molecule: ribosomal RNA, 491 nt
Filed under: uncultured bacterium
Lineage: Bacteria
Description: partial 16S ribosomal RNA
Rfam family: Bacterial small subunit ribosomal RNA
Source: RNAcentral
AGUGAACGCUGGCGGUAGGCCUAACACAUGCAAGUCGAACGGCAGCACAGUAAGAGCUUGCUCUUACGGGUGGCGAGUGGCGGACGGGUGAGGAAUACAUCGGAAUCUACUUUUUCGUGGGGGAUAACGUAGGGAAACUUACGCUAAUACCGCAUACGACCUACGGGUGAAAGCAGGGGAUCUUCGGACCUUGCGCGAUUGAAUGAGCCGAUUUCGGAUUAGCUAGUUGGCGGGGUAAAGGCCCACCAAGGCGACGAUCCGUAGCUGGUCUGAGAGGAUGGUCAGCCACACUGGAACUGAGAAACGGUCCAGACUCCUACGGGAGGCAGCAGUGGGGAAUAUUGGAAAAGGGGCGCAAGCCUGAUCCAGCCAUACCGCGUGGGUGAAGAAGGCCUUCGGGUUGUAAAGCCUUUUUGUUGGGAAAGAAAAGCAGCAGGUUAAUACCCCGCUGUUCUGACGGUACCCAAAGAAUAAGCACCGGCUAACUUCGU